GGGCCCGCACAAGCAGCGGAGCAUGUGGUUUAAUUCGAAGCAACGCGAAGAACCUUACCUAGACUUGACAUCUCCUGCAUUACCCUUAACCGGGGAAGUUCCUUCGGGAACAGGAAGACAGGUGGUGCAUGGUUGUCGUCAGCUCGUGUCGUGAGAUGUUGGGUUAAGUCCCGCAACGAGCGCAACCCUUAUUGUUAGUUGCUACCAUUUAGUUGAGCACUCUAGCGAGACUGCCCGGGUUAACCGGGAGGAAGGUGGGGAUGACGUCAAAUCAUCAUGCCCCUUAUGUCUAGGGCUACACACGUGCUACAAUGGCAAGUACAAAGAGAAGCAAUACCGCGAGGUGGAGCAAAACUCAAAAACUUGUCUCAGUUCGGAUUGUAGGCUGAAACUCGCCUACAUGAAGCUGGAGUUGCUAGUAAUCGCGAAUCAGAAUGUCGCGGUGAAUACGUUCCCGGGCCUU
Molecule: ribosomal RNA, 463 nt
Filed under: uncultured bacterium
Lineage: Bacteria
Description: bacterial SSU rRNA
Rfam family: Bacterial small subunit ribosomal RNA
Source: RNAcentral